GGUACUGCGCAUCAAAAGAUCUUGACUUCUCGAUCAUGAGUUUAAUGUUUGUAAACAGUGCCGCUCUAUCGGUCAAGCCGCGGAAGCUUGACCCUCCGCAUGCGAUCGUGUGGUAUCGAUGUCUCGGGGAACGAAAAAUGGCGUCUUCCAUUCAAAAGUAACGAUUUAAUUGUUUGAUGGAAAUCGGUGAAACGAAUCAGACAGUAAACGCCUUCUUCGCAGGUUUGAAGACUCCACUGCGAUAUCACACGUAACGAUCUCUUCAAAUUUAGCAGGAUUGAAAUCCGACAACCGAAAUUCAGGAUACGAUCACUAUCAUUACAGAGUGAAGGUCAUACCCAUUGCUACUCUAAAAUUAUGCCGGUCGAUCGAGUCAGGAAGAAGGCAACAGGUGGAUCCUAGAACGGUCGCUAGAAAUCUGUUACUAAUGAUCGGACAGCUGGAGUCGAGACCGAGAGUUUUGAAUUACCUCCUCGGUCGAUUUAUUUAAAGAGUGGAUCGGUUCCGCGGGUUUCGAGCCCGCGUCGCUCAUCCGUGGGGGUUACAGGGUAUCGACGUGCGGAAUUUAGGUCGCCGGUGAUCAUUAACUUGCACCGUUCCGGGCACAAUACAAUCACCGAGAAUACCCUGUCGACCAUAAACAAUGGGAUCUGGCCUGAAUCAAACGAUAUAAAUCGGGAUUGCGUUGG
Molecule: non-coding RNA, 689 nt
Organism: Nomia melanderi (Alkali bee)
Lineage: Eukaryota; Metazoa; Arthropoda; Insecta; Hymenoptera; Halictidae
Source: RefSeq, a predicted model, not a curated record